AGCGAACGCUGGCGGCAGGCCUAACACAUGCAAGUCGAACGAACCUUUCGGGGUUAGUGGCGGACGGGUGAGUAACACGUGGGAACGUGCCUUUAGGUUCGGAAUAACUCAGGGAAACUUGUGCUAAUACCGAAUGUGCCCUUCGGGGGAAAGAUUUAUCGCCUUUAGAGGGGCCCGCGUCUGUUUAGCUAGUUGGGUGAGGUAAUGGCGCACCAAGGCGAGGAUCAGUAGCUGGUGUGAGAGGAUGAUUAGCCACAUUGGGACUGAGACACGGCCCAAACUCCUACGGGAGGCAGCAGUGGGGAAUCUUGCGCAAUGGGCGAAAGCCUGACGCAGCCAUGCCGCGUGAAUGAUGAAGGUCUUAGGAUUGUAAAAUUCUUUCACCGGGGACGAUAAUGACGGUACCCGGAGAAGAAGCCCCGGCUAACUUCGUG
RNAcentral lists this ribosomal RNA (434 nucleotides) under uncultured bacterium. Its description in RNAcentral is "partial 16S ribosomal RNA". It matches the Rfam family "Bacterial small subunit ribosomal RNA", at positions 29 to 507 of the family's 1533-position model. The record is from RNAcentral.